This 406-nucleotide ribosomal RNA is filed under the name uncultured bacterium. RNAcentral describes it as "partial 16S ribosomal RNA". It matches the Rfam family "Bacterial small subunit ribosomal RNA", at positions 29 to 526 of the family's 1533-position model. The record is from RNAcentral.
AUUGAACGCUGGCGGCAGGCUUAACACAUGCAAGUCGAGCGAGCGGCGGACGGGUGAGUCAUGUCUGGGAAACUGCCUGAUGGAGGGGGAUAACUACUGGAAACGGUAGCUAAUACCGCAUACCAUCAGAUGUGCCCAGAUGGGCUUAGCUAGUAGGUGGGGUAAUGGCUCACCUGGGCGACGAUCCCUAGCUGGUCUGAGAGGAUGACCGGCAACACGGGAACUGUGCAACGGUCCAGACUCCUACGGGAGGCAGCAGAGGGAAAUAUUGCACAUUGGGCGCAAGCCUGAUGCAGCAAGGCGGCGUGUGUGAAGAAGGCCUGCGAGUGGUAAGGCACUUUCAGAGAGGAGGCGUUAAUCGCAGAAGAAGCACCGGCUAACUCCGUGCCAGCAGCCGCGGUAAUAC